UAGGGAAUAUUGGACAAUGGGUGAGAGCCUGAUCCAGCCAUGCCGCGUGCAGGAAGAAGGCGUUAUGCGUUGUAAACUGCUUUUGCCAGGGGAUAAAAAGACCGUGCGCGGUUAAUUGAAGGUACCUGGUGAAUAAGCCACGGCUAACUACGUGCCAGCAGCCGCGGUAAUACGUAGGUGGCAAGCGUUGUCCGGAUUUAUUGGGUUUAAAGGGUGCGUAGGUGGCCCUGUAAGUCAGUGGUGAAAUAUCUCAGCUUAACUGAGAGGGUGCCAUUGAUACUGCAGGGCUUGAGUACAGAUGAGGUAGGCGGAAUUGACGGUGUAGCGGUGAAAUGCAUAGAUAUCGUCAAGAACACCGAUAGCGAAGGCAGCUUACCAAGCUGUAAACUGACACUGAGGCACGAAAGUGUGGGGAUCAAACAGGAUUAGAUACCCUUGUAGUCCCUGAGCGGGCUGGCAAGGCGCAU
RNAcentral lists this ribosomal RNA (467 nucleotides) under uncultured bacterium. Its description in RNAcentral is "bacterial SSU rRNA". It matches the Rfam family "Bacterial small subunit ribosomal RNA", at positions 355 to 825 of the family's 1533-position model. The record is from RNAcentral.